RNAcentral lists this ribosomal RNA (426 nucleotides) under uncultured Actinomycetes bacterium. RNAcentral describes it as "bacterial SSU rRNA". It matches the Rfam family "Bacterial small subunit ribosomal RNA", at positions 958 to 1385 of the family's 1533-position model. Lineage: Bacteria; Bacillati; Actinomycetota; Actinomycetes. The record is from RNAcentral.
AACGCGAAGAACCUUACCAAGGUUUGACAUGCAGGGAAAAGCCGUAGAGAUACGGUGUCCGUAAGGGUCCUGCACAGGUGGUGCAUGGCUGUCGUCAGCUCGUGUCGUGAGAUGUUGGGUUAAGUCCCGCAACGAGCGCAACCCUCGUCCUAUGUUGCCAGCGGGUAAUGCCGGGGACUCAUAGGAGACUGCCGGGGUCAACUCGGAGGAAGGUGGGGAUGACGUCAAGUCCUCAUGCCCCUUAUAUCUUGGGCUGCAAACAUGCUACAAUGGCCGGUACAGAGGGCUGCGAGACCGCAAGGUGGAGCGAAUCUCAAAAAGCCGGUCUCAGUUCGGAUUGGGGUCUGCAACUCGACCCCAUGAAGUCGGAGUCGCUAGUAAUCGCGAAUCAGCAACGUCGCGGUGAAUACGUUCCCGGGCCUUGUA